CCUCCGGGGGAGGGAGUCCAGAGGGCCGGCGCUGCAGUUCUGCCGGGUUCCUGCGGCUCCUCCCCGUGGGGGCGAACACAACACCGAGUUUGUGCCACAUUGCGGCCCACACCUGCUGUAUUCCCCUCUGCGAAGCCAGAGCUUCGGCUAGGUAAGCGGGAGGUGGAGAGGCAGAACUGCAGGAGGGGGCAAGCCGGUGCGAGAGGGCAACGAAAGGGUCUGCAGGUUUCGUCUGGCAGCAUCAUAUAAUAAUAGCAACACGUCUCCCACGCGGCUGGAUCCCUUCUCCGGCCUGGGAUAGCUGCUAUUGAUUGUUUCCUCCUUGGCUUACUUAUGGUUGGCAGGAGUCUCUCACGACCGCUCCUCAACUCUGGUCCCCGGUUCCCCGGCCCGCCGCCGCACCCAGCUCAGCCCUCCGCGAGGUUCUGGUUAGUAAGCUGAGCUCUGCCAAAGGAUGGGGUGCUUUCCUCGCGGGGAGGGGGCCCAGGCCCGGGGGCCUCACUGAGCGGACAGCCGGGUGGCGGCACCUCGCCGCCUCGCGCCCCCGCCGGCCCCUUUAAUUCGAGUCCGCCGGCGGCCAGGUGCGGCGCUGCGUGGCGCGGUGCGGCGCGGUGCGGCUGCGGGCGGCGGCCGGGUGCUCGGUACGCGCAGCCCGCGGGACUGCAGAGCCGGCUCCGGCUGGCCGCCCGCACGCCGCCUCCUGCGGUCAUCCAGAAAUAUGGAGGCUCCGGGUGCCCAUCGGGAAGGGCAACGUCACACCUCCUGAGGACAGCCAGGAGGACUCCAGCUUUUGCUGAGCAUUGCAUCUUACCUCUUCCUUUCAAAGGCUCCAGAUCCCAGCUUACCUGUCCUCAAGCUUACCUGUGCCCCAACCAGGCAUCCCACUACCCCUCCAGCCCAGCCCAGCCCUAGAGCUCACCUCCAGGCCCUGGAGCCUGCCCUCCUGCCCAGAAUGACUCACCAUUAUUUCUAGCUCAAGUGAGAAGACGUGAUGGGGUGUCGGGCUGCCCGUUUGUGUAUCUAGGAUUCCUGAAGCAUCGGAUCAGCUCUUCAAGGAAGAGAGCUGCAGAUUCGUGCCUUGCCAGGUAAAUCAAUCUAUUGUUUAAUAACAGCCGUGUGUAGAGUCACUGGGGUGGGGGCAGUGAGAGAGACCCACCCAGGCCCAAGAUUUGUCACUGCAAAUACCUCUCAGGGUGCAGGGUUCUGCAAGGCAUUAGUUUAGUGCCUGGGAGAGGGCUCCCUUCCAACCUCUUGUAUGGGGCUGUGCUCCAUGAAGCCUGCGCAGUGCAGAGGGACCUAUGUCAGCCCCCUGCCUCCAGCUCAGGGCAUUCCAGGGCUUUCUUGAGAGACCACCACCUGCUCCUCUCUGAUCCCCAGCUAAGGUAAACAUAAAUCUUACUUUUUUGUGGUAUUGGUGGUGGUAAUGAUGUUUUUGAGCUUCUUGGCUGAGAGAAGAGAGGGGAAAAAAAAAAAAAAAAAACAGCACCUCAGGUCGGGCUGCCAGUGCUGAGUGGUCUUAUGUUCUUAACCGCCUCUGUCUUUCAGCCAAGCGAGGCUCUCUCUCCAGCUCUCAGGGAGCCCUGGGGGCUCUCCCGCUGGAACCCAGGCUGAUGCCGCUGUGUUUCCUGGGGCCGUAAGCACCAUCCCGAGCUCCCGGCCACCAGGCAGCUAGAAGGCGCAGCGAGAGG
Molecule: long non-coding RNA, 1688 nt
Filed under: Cervus hanglu yarkandensis (Yarkand deer)
Lineage: Eukaryota; Metazoa; Chordata; Mammalia; Artiodactyla; Cervidae
Description: lncRNA (ENSCHYG00000011975.1)
Source: RNAcentral